Long non-coding RNA from Carassius carassius (crucian carp), 400 nucleotides. RefSeq lists it as uncharacterized. The transcript has 3 exons. The record is from RefSeq and is a predicted model, not a curated record. Lineage: Eukaryota; Metazoa; Chordata; Actinopteri; Cypriniformes; Cyprinidae.
AAGAGGCGUUUAAAUACAUUUACAAAGAGUAUUAAAUGCAGCUCAGAGGUGGCAUGAAUGCAUUUACACUGCAUGUUACACUGAUUACAAGAGCAUACACUAUACUAUGACAUUAAUGUUUUCUAAAUAAAAUUAUACUUUAAAUAUGAAACUGAAACCACCAAUAGUUUGGCAGAAUAUUCUUGUCUUAAUGAAUGAAUCACUGAAUUGCUUAUUCGAUUCAUUCUGUAUCAAAGCAAAUGACUGUCUGCUGUUCUGCAGUGAAGCACUGCACUCUCAAAACGUGUUUUUGUUUGAUUGUGCAAAGUUGUCGAAGAUACAAAGAGCUCCUACAACAUUACAUUCUUAACUAACAUUCAGAAAAUCAAGUUUUGACAUUUGUGAAUGAUUUGAAUGGGUA